This 271-nucleotide long non-coding RNA is filed under the name Elaeis guineensis (African oil palm). RNAcentral's name for it is "long non-coding RNA (EGUI_LNC039488)". The record is from RNAcentral. Lineage: Eukaryota; Viridiplantae; Streptophyta; Magnoliopsida; Arecales; Arecaceae.
GGGUCAAUGGGUUAGAUGGAUUAGGUCCAUAAUUGGGUUAGACCUAAAGUUAGCUUAAAGAAAUAGACUAAAUUAGAGUAAUUGGUCAAAUCUAAUCAAAAGUUGAAUUAGAUUAGGUCAAGGAUACUCUAGACUCAACUUCAAUAGUUGUAGUUGAAUGGGUCCAUGUCUUUAACUAGACCAAGAUGGACUUAAUUCAUGGCUACGCGAUGGAACCCUAUUUACUAAGUUGAUUAAAUUAAAACUAAUGAACCGGUUGGUGUCUAAGGNN